RNAcentral lists this ribosomal RNA (501 nucleotides) under uncultured bacterium. RNAcentral describes it as "bacterial SSU rRNA". It matches the Rfam family "Bacterial small subunit ribosomal RNA", at positions 38 to 518 of the family's 1533-position model. The record is from RNAcentral.
GGCGGCGUGCUUAACACAUGCAAGUCGAACGCGAAAGGGACUUCGGGUCCUGAGUAAAGUGGCGCACGGGUGAGUAACGCGUAGAUAACCUGUCUUCAUGUCUGGAAUAAUACGCCGAAAGGGGUACUAAUACCGGAUAUUCUUGCUUUUCAUAAGUUAUGCAAGCAAAGGUGGCCUCUGCAUAUGCUACUGCAUGAAGAGGGGUCUGCGUACCAUUAGCUAGUAGGUGGGGUAAUGGCCUACCUAGGCGACGAUGGUUAGCGGGUCUGAAAGGAUGAUCCGCCACACUGGCACUGGAACACGGGCCAGACUCCUACGGGAGGCAGCAGUGAGGAAUAUUGCGCAAUGGGGGAAACCCUGACGCAGCGACGCCGCGUGAGUGAGGAAGGCCUUCGGGUCGUAAAGCUCUGUCAAGAGGAAAGAAGUGUACAAUGGCUAAUACCUGUUGUAUUUGACGGUACCUCUAAAGGAAGCACCGGCUAACUCCGUGCCAGCCGCGGC